Molecule: non-coding RNA, 26 nt
Filed under: Mus musculus (house mouse)
Lineage: Eukaryota; Metazoa; Chordata; Mammalia; Rodentia; Muridae
Source: RNAcentral
UGGUAGCUACUAUGGAAUAGUUCAUC